Molecule: long non-coding RNA, 266 nt
Filed under: Coffea arabica (coffee)
Lineage: Eukaryota; Viridiplantae; Streptophyta; Magnoliopsida; Gentianales; Rubiaceae
Description: long non-coding RNA (CARA_LNC003534)
Source: RNAcentral
GAUAGUUGAUUGUUUCUUUGAAGCAUGAGCUUCGCCAACUCUAGAGCUUGUGUUAGAUGUUCCAUUAUAGGUGAAACCACCAUCACUAGUGCAACUUUCUCCAUUGGUGAGAAAGAAUUGGAAACAGAUUCAAGAAAGGAAGAGCCUGAAAGAAAUGUAACUCUUGUAGGCCCUCAAAUAUCGAAAACAAGUUGCAACGCUGUUGUGAGCAAACGAGGAAGACGAACAACUUCCCGAGGCCAGAAAUGAAGUAACUAAAGGACUAG